Molecule: ribosomal RNA, 690 nt
Filed under: uncultured bacterium
Lineage: Bacteria
Description: bacterial SSU rRNA
Rfam family: Bacterial small subunit ribosomal RNA
Source: RNAcentral
UUAUAGUUUGAUCCUGGCUCAGGAUGAACGCUAGCGGCAGGCUUAAUACAUGCAAGUCGAGGGGCAGCACGGUAGCAAUACUGGUGGCGACCGGCGCACGGGUGCGUAACACGUAUACAAUCUACCUAAAACGGGGGGAUAGCCUUUCAAAAGAGAGAUUAAUACCCCGUAAUAUAUAAAAUGGCAUCUUUUUAUAUUGAAAGCUCCGGCGGUUUUAGAUGAGUAUGCGUCUGAUUAGCUAGUAGGUGAGGUAACGGCUCACCUAGGCGACGAUCAGUAGGGGAUCUGAGAGGACUACCCCCCACACUGGUACUGAGACACGGACCACACUCCUACGGGAGGCAGCAGUAAGGAAUAUUGGUCAAUGGGCGCAAGCCUGAACCAGCCAUGCCGCGUGCAGGAAGACGGCCCUAUGGGUUGUAAACUGCUUUUGUACCAAAGAAAACCCUUCUACGUGUAGGAGGUUGAUAGUAUGGUAAGAAUAAGCAUCGGCUAUCUUCGUGCCAGCAGCCGCGGUAAGACGAAGGAUGCAAGCGUUAUCCGGAUUCAUUGUGUUUAAAGGGUGCGUAGGCGCACCUGUAAGUCAGUGAUGAAAUCUCUCAUCUUAACUGAGAAACUGCCAUUGAUACUGCAAGUCUAGAGUAUAGAUGACGUUGGCGGAAUAUGACAUGUAGUGUGAAAUACUUAGAU